RNAcentral lists this ribosomal RNA (454 nucleotides) under uncultured bacterium. Its description in RNAcentral is "partial 16S ribosomal RNA". It matches the Rfam family "Bacterial small subunit ribosomal RNA", at positions 28 to 507 of the family's 1533-position model. The record is from RNAcentral.
GAUGAACGCUGACAGCAUGCUUAACACAUGCAAGUCGACUUGAACUUCGGUUUGGGUGGCGGACGGGUGAGUAACGCGUAAAGAACUUGCCUCACAGCUAGGGACAACAUUUGGAAACGAAUGCUAAUACCUGAUAUUAUGAUUUUAGGGCAUCCUAGAAUUAUGAAAGCUAUAUGCGCUGUGAGGGAGCUUUGCGUCCCAUUAGCUAGUUGGAGCGGUAACGGCUCACCAAGGCGAUGAUGGGUAGCCGGCCUGGGAGGGUGAACGGCCACAAGGGGACUGGGACACGGCCCGUACUCCAACGGGAGGCAGCGGGGGGGAUUAUUGGACAAUGGACCAAGAGUCUGAUCCAGCCAUUCUGUGUGCACGAUGAAGUUUUUCGGAAUGUAAAGUGCUUUCAGUUGGGAAGAAAAAAAUGACGGUACCAACAGAAGAAGUGACGGCUAAAUACGUG